UGGGGAAUUUUGGACAAUGGGCGAAAGCCUGAUCCAGCAAUGCCGCGUGUGUGAAGAAGGCCUUCGGGUUGUAAAGCACUUUUGUCCGGAAAGAAAUCCUUGGCUCUAAUACAGUCGGGGGAUGACGGUACCGGAAGAAUAAGCACCGGCUAACUACGUGCCAGCAGCCGCGGUAAUACGUAGGGUGCAAGCGUUAAUCGGAAUUACUGGGCGUAAAGCGUGCGCAGGCGGUUUGCUAAGACCGAUGUGAAAUCCCCGGGCUCAACCUGGGAACUGCAUUGGUGACUGGCAGGCUAGAGUAUGGCAGAGGGGGGUAGAAUUCCACGUNUAGCAGUGAAAUGCGUAGAGAUGUGGAGGAAUACCGAUGGCGAAGGCAGCCCCCUGGGCCAAUACUGACGCUCAUGCACGAAAGCGUGGGGAGCAAACAGGAUUAGAUACCCUGGUAGUCCACGCCCUAAACGAUGUCAACUAGUUGUUGGGGAUUCAUUUCCUUAGUAACGUAGCUAACGCGUGAAGUUGACCGCCUGGGGAGUACGGUCGCAAGAUUAAAACUCAAAUGAAUUGACGGGGUCAAU
Molecule: ribosomal RNA, 575 nt
Filed under: uncultured bacterium
Lineage: Bacteria
Description: partial 16S ribosomal RNA
Rfam family: Bacterial small subunit ribosomal RNA
Source: RNAcentral